UAUUUCAUACGCAUACCAGUUAGUGGGCUUAUGUUCUGUGGACCACUGGUGUCAUAGGAAUCAAAAUGUGGUUCAUCUCCUACUAGGUGGAUGCGUCGAAAUGGAACUUUGAGUAAAUGACCAGAUUGCUCAUGAAUGACUUCCCUGCAAAUCAGUUCGCAGCAUCAAACAUCUGAGAAAAUGCAUGUGAGAGAUGCACAUAUGUACGCAUGCUAAAAUCUCUUCACGUAUGUCUGACUGCAAUUUUGAAGUGGGAAAUUUUAACUAAGAUGACAGGAAAUUUUGAAACCACAAAGGAACAGAUAGUUUGGCAGAAUUCACGUGUAUUCUUUAGAGCUUCUUGGAAAGCAUUCCUCAAAGGAUGGAAGCGGAAGAAAAUCAGGAGCAUUAGGAUCAACUGUGUGCUUCCGUUGCUUGGGCUUUUCUGUAUUUGUAGUAGGUGGCAGAUGUGGAAUAUUUCAUACGCAUACCAGUUAGUGGGCUUAUGUUCUGUGGACCACUGGUGUCAUAGGAAUCAAAAUGAGGUUCAUCUCCUACUAGGUGGAUGCGUCGAAAUGGAACUUUGAGCAAAUGACCAGAUUGCUCAUGAAUGACUUCCCUGCAAAUCAGUUCGCAGCAUCAAACAUCUGAGAAAAUGCAUGUGAGAGAUGCACAUAUGUACGCAUGCUAAAAUCUCUUCACGUAUGUCUGACUGCAAUGUUGAAGUGGGAAAUUUUAACUAAGAUGACAGGAAAUUUUGAAACCACAAAGGAACAGAUAGUUUGGC
This 766-nucleotide long non-coding RNA is filed under the name Olea europaea (common olive). RNAcentral's name for it is "long non-coding RNA (OEUR_LNC001645)". Lineage: Eukaryota; Viridiplantae; Streptophyta; Magnoliopsida; Lamiales; Oleaceae. The record is from RNAcentral.